AGCGAACGCUGGCGGCAGGCCUAACACAUGCAAGCCGAACGAACUCUUCGGAGUUAGUGGCGGACGGGUGAGUAACACGUGGGAACGUGCCUUUUGGUUCGGAAUAACUCAGGGAAACUUGUGCUAAUACCGAAUGUGCCCUUCGGGGGAAAGAUUUAUCGCCAUUAGAGCGGCCCGCGUCUGAUUAGCUAGUUGGUGGGGUAACGGCUCACCAAGGCGACGAUCAGUAACUGGUCUGAGAGGAUGACCAGCCACACUGGGACUGAGACACGGCCCAGACUCCUACGGGAGGCAGCAGUGGGGAAUCUUGCGCAAUGGGCGAAAGCCUGACGCAGCCAUGCCGCGUGAAUGAUGAAGGUCUUAGGAUUGUAAAAUUCUUUCACCGGGGACGAUAAUGACGGUACCCGGAGAAGAAGCCCCGGCUAACUUCGUG
RNAcentral lists this ribosomal RNA (433 nucleotides) under uncultured bacterium. RNAcentral's name for it is "partial 16S ribosomal RNA". It matches the Rfam family "Bacterial small subunit ribosomal RNA", at positions 29 to 507 of the family's 1533-position model. The record is from RNAcentral.